GAUACAGAGCCUUUUCCCAUUCCUUAUCUCCCUGGAGAUAUUAAGAUAACCAAAAUGAAACUCCCUACGUUCGUUCGGGAGAAUGCGGAGAAUGAACUUAGCAAGUUUCUCAAGAAAGUCAAAGAGUCGGAAUCGUGUUGUUAUGGAGUUGUUGUUAACAGUUUUUACGAGCUGGAAGCAGAGUAUGCUGAUUGUUACAGAGAUGUCUUGGGAAGAAAAGCGUGGCAAAUUGGCCCACUUUCAUUAUGCAACAGUGAAACUCAAGAAAUUAAACAG
This 276-nucleotide unclassified non-coding RNA is filed under the name Hevea brasiliensis (rubber tree). Lineage: Eukaryota; Viridiplantae; Streptophyta; Magnoliopsida; Malpighiales; Euphorbiaceae. The record is from RNAcentral.